This 2915-nucleotide ribosomal RNA is filed under the name Vibrio parahaemolyticus. RNAcentral's name for it is "bacterial LSU rRNA". It matches the Rfam family "Bacterial large subunit ribosomal RNA". Lineage: Bacteria; Pseudomonadati; Pseudomonadota; Gammaproteobacteria; Vibrionales; Vibrionaceae. The record is from RNAcentral.
GUUGUAUGGUUAAGUGACUAAGCGUACACGGUGGAUGCCUUGGCAGUCAGAGGCGAUGAAAGACGUAGUAACUUGCGAUAAGCCCAGAUUAGGUAGUAACAACCAUUUGAGUCUGGGAUUUCUGAAUGGGGAAACCCACUUACAUAAGUAAGUAUCCUUAUCUGAAUACAUAGGGUAAGGAGGCGAACCGGGGGAACUGAAACAUCUAAGUACCCCGAGGAAAAGAAAUCAACCGAGAUUCCGAAAGUAGCGGCGAGCGAAAUUGGACUAGCCCUUAAGCUUUACACGCGUUAGACGAACGGUCUGGAAAGUCCGACGAUACAGGGUGAUAGUCCCGUAGUUGACGACGUGUGUUCAGUGAAAUCGAGUAGGGCGGGACACGUGAUAUCCUGUCUGAAUAUGGGGGGACCAUCCUCCAAGGCUAAAUACUACUGACUGACCGAUAGUGAACCAGUACCGUGAGGGAAAGGCGAAAAGAACCCCUGUGAGGGGAGUGAAAUAGAACCUGAAACCGUGUACGUACAAGCAGUAGGAGCAGGCUUGUCCUGUGACUGCGUACCUUUUGUAUAAUGGGUCAGCGACUUAUAUUCAGUGGCAAGGUUAACCAUCUAGGGGAGCCGUAGGGAAACCGAGUCUUAACUGGGCGUUCAGUCUCUGGAUAUAGACCCGAAACCAGGUGAUCUAGCCAUGGGCAGGUUGAAGGUUGAGUAACAUCAACUGGAGGACCGAACCGACUAAUGUUGAAAAAUUAGCGGAUGACUUGUGGCUAGGGGUGAAAGGCCAAUCAAACCUGGAGAUAGCUGGUUCUCCCCGAAAGCUAUUUAGGUAGCGCCUCGGACGAAUACUACUGGGGGUAGAGCACUGUUAAGGCUAGGGGGUCAUCCCGACUUACCAACCCUUUGCAAACUCCGAAUACCAGUAAGUACUAUCCGGGAGACACACGGCGGGUGCUAACGUCCGUCGUGGAGAGGGAAACAACCCAGACCGCCAGCUAAGGUCCCAAAUUACUACUAAGUGGGAAACGAUGUGGGAAGGCUCAGACAGCCAGGAUGUUGGCUUAGAAGCAGCCAUCAUUUAAAGAAAGCGUAAUAGCUCACUGGUCGAGUCGGCCUGCGCGGAAGAUGUAACGGGGCUAAGUAGUAAACCGAAGCUGCGGCAAUAUACUUUUGUAUAUUGGGUAGGGGAGCGUUCUGUAAGCGGUUGAAGGUGUGUGGUAACGCAUGCUGGACGUAUCAGAAGUGCGAAUGCUGACAUGAGUAACGAUAAAGGGGGUGAAAAACCUCCUCGCCGGAAGACCAAGGGUUCCUGUCCAACGUUAAUCGGGGCAGGGUAAGUCGACCCCUAAGGCGAGGCCGAAAGGCGUAGUCGAUGGGAAACGGGUUAAUAUUCCCGUACUUCUUACAAUUGCGAUGGGGGGACGGAGAAGGCUAGGUGGGCCUGGCGACGGUUGUCCAGGUUCAAGUGCGUAGGCUUAAGAGUUAGGUAAAUCCGGCUCUUUUUAAGGCUGAGACACGACGUCGAGCUACUACGGUAGUGAAGUCAUUGAUGCCAUGCUUCCAGGAAAAGCCUCUAAGCUUCAGAUUGUAAGGAAUCGUACCCCAAACCGACACAGGUGGUCGGGUAGAGAAUACCAAGGCGCUUGAGAGAACUCGGGUGAAGGAACUAGGCAAAAUGGUACCGUAACUUCGGGAGAAGGUACGCUCUUGAUGGUGAAGUCCCUUGCGGAUGGAGCUGACGAGAGUCGCAGAUACCAGGUGGCUGCAACUGUUUAUUAAAAACACAGCACUGUGCAAAAUCGUAAGAUGACGUAUACGGUGUGACGCCUGCCCGGUGCCGGAAGGUUAAUUGAUGGGGUUAGACUUCGGUCGAAGCUCUUGAUCGAAGCCCCGGUAAACGGCGGCCGUAACUAUAACGGUCCUAAGGUAGCGAAAUUCCUUGUCGGGUAAGUUCCGACCUGCACGAAUGGCGUAAUGAUGGCCACGCUGUCUCCACCCGAGACUCAGUGAAAUUGAAAUCGCUGUGAAGAUGCAGUGUACCCGCGGCUAGACGGAAAGACCCCGUGAACCUUUACUACAGCUUGGCACUGAACAUUGACCCUACAUGUGUAGGAUAGGUGGGAGGCUUUGAAGACGGUACGCCAGUAUGUGUGGAGCCGUCCUUGAAAUACCACCCUUGUAGUGUUGAUGUUCUAACGUCGACCCCUUAUCGGGGUUGCGGACAGUGCCUGGUGGGUAGUUUGACUGGGGCGGUCUCCUCCCAAAGAGUAACGGAGGAGCACGAAGGUGGGCUAAUCACGGUUGGACAUCGUGAGGUUAGUGCAAUGGCAUAAGCCCGCUUGACUGCGAGAAUGACAAUUCGAGCAGGUGCGAAAGCAGGUCAUAGUGAUCCGGUGGUUCUGAAUGGAAGGGCCAUCGCUCAACGGAUAAAAGGUACUCCGGGGAUAACAGGCUGAUACCGCCCAAGAGUUCAUAUCGACGGCGGUGUUUGGCACCUCGAUGUCGGCUCAUCACAUCCUGGGGCUGAAGUCGGUCCCAAGGGUAUGGCUGUUCGCCAUUUAAAGUGGUACGCGAGCUGGGUUUAGAACGUCGUGAGACAGUUCGGUCCCUAUCUGCCGUGGGCGUUGGAAGAUUGAAGGGGGCUGCUCCUAGUACGAGAGGACCGGAGUGGACGAACCUCUGGUGUUCGGGUUGUGUCGCCAGACGCAUUGCCCGGUAGCUAAGUUCGGAAUCGAUAACCGCUGAAAGCAUCUAAGCGGGAAGCGAGCCCUGAGAUGAGUCUUCCCUGAUACUUUAAGUAUCCUAAAGGGUUGUCGGAGACUACGACGUUGAUAGGUCAGGUGUGUAAGUGCUGUGAGGCAUUGAGCUAACUGAUACUAAUUGCCCGUGAGGCUUAACCAUACAACACCCAAGGGGUUU